CUCUAUUCCUUUGAUCUUGCUGUAUUAUAUGCAGCUUUCUAACCCUAAGGACAUCUAUCGAUCUCAUUGAUAGUACUUUGAAUGACUUUCAUUGCACACUGAGCGGUGUAUUGGCCUGCUUUCAUCGCACGGGGAAGUCAUUCCAUUCAAGCAGGUCCUGCGAAGGAAUUCCUAGUGAGAGGAGAAGCAAGAUCGCUUGAAGCUCCUCACUGAUGGCUGAUUUUGAAAGCGAAAGAGAGCUCAGUCGUAAGUUACAUUACAUGCUGGGUUCAAGGCCUUGUCCCUGUUUCCUAGCUUUUUGUUCAGUCGUUGUGAGCUAUGGCUAAGAGUAAACAUGUGAACAGCUCGCAGAAAUCUUCCCAAAGACGUCAUAUGGGACAGGUCAAGCGAAACGUUCAUACAUUU
RNAcentral lists this non-coding RNA (405 nucleotides) under Actinia tenebrosa (Australian red waratah sea anemone). Lineage: Eukaryota; Metazoa; Cnidaria; Anthozoa; Actiniaria; Actiniidae. The record is from RNAcentral.